UCCCUGGUGGCUUACAUGGUAAAGUGUCUGCCUACAAUGCAGGAGACCCAGGUUCAAUCCCUGGAUAGGGAA
This 72-nucleotide transfer RNA is filed under the name Capra hircus (goat). It matches the Rfam family "tRNA". Rfam says of the family: Transfer RNA (tRNA) molecules are approximately 80 nucleotides in length. Their secondary structure includes four short double-helical elements and three loops (D, anti-codon, and T loops). Further hydrogen bonds mediate the characteristic L-shaped molecular structure. tRNAs have two regions of fundamental functional importance: the anti-codon, which is responsible for specific mRNA codon recognition, and the 3' end, to which the tRNAs corresponding amino acid is attached (by aminoacyl-tRNA synthetases). tRNAs cope with the degeneracy of the genetic code in two manners: having more than one tRNA (with a specific anti-codon) for a particular amino acid; and 'wobble' base-pairing, i.e. permitting non-standard base-pairing at the 3rd anti-codon position. RNAcentral also lists the same sequence under 1 other name. The record is from Rfam by way of RNAcentral. Lineage: Eukaryota; Metazoa; Chordata; Mammalia; Artiodactyla; Bovidae.